AUUGAACGCUGGCGGAAUGCUUUACACAUGCAAGUCGAACGGCAGCACGGACUUCGGUCUGGUGGCGAGUGGCGAACGGGUGAGUAAUGUAUCGGAACGUGCCCAGUCGUGGGGGAUAACGUAGUGAAAAUUACGCUAAUACCGCAUACGAUCUAUGGAUGAAAGCGGGGGAUCGGAGGACCUUGCGCGAUUGGAGCGGCCGAUAUCAGAUUAGGUAGUUGGUGGGGUAAAGGCCCACCAAGCCAACGAUCUGUAGCUGGUCUGAGAGGACGACCAGCCACACUGGAACUGAGACACGGUCCAGAGUCCUACGGGAGGCAGCAGUGGGGAAUUUUGGACAAUGGGCGCAAGCCUGAUCCAGCCAUUCCGCGUGCAGGAUGAAGGCCCUCGGGUUGUAAACUGCUUUUGUACGGAACGAAACGGUGCUCUCUAAUACAGGGCGCUAAUGACGGUACCGUAAGAAUAAGCACCGGCUAACUACGUGCCAGCAGCCGCCGUAA
Molecule: ribosomal RNA, 500 nt
Filed under: uncultured bacterium
Lineage: Bacteria
Description: partial 16S ribosomal RNA
Rfam family: Bacterial small subunit ribosomal RNA
Source: RNAcentral